This 21-nucleotide small nuclear RNA is filed under the name Arabidopsis thaliana (thale cress). Its description in RNAcentral is "snRNA_15629". Lineage: Eukaryota; Viridiplantae; Streptophyta; Magnoliopsida; Brassicales; Brassicaceae. The record is from RNAcentral.
UGUCAGCGGACUGCUCGAGCU